AACCAGACUCCUACGGGAGGCAGCAGUGAGGAAUAUUGGUCAAUGGCCGAGAGGCUGAACCAGCCAAGUCGCGUGAGGGAAGACGGCCCUACGGGUUGUAAACCUCUUUUGUCGGGGAGCAAAGAGAGUCACGUGUGACUCAUUGAGAGUACCCGAAGAAAAAGCAUCGGCUAACUCCGUGCCAGCAGCCGCGGUAAUACGGAGGAUGCGAGCGUUAUCCGGAUUUAUUGGGUUUAAAGGGUGCGCAGGCGGAGGUGCAAGUCAGCGGUCAAAUUGCGGGGCUCAACCCCGUACUGCCGUUGAAACUGCAUCCCUUGAGUGCGCGAGAAGUAUGCGGAAUGCGUGGUGUAGCGGUGAAAUGCAUAGAUAUUGCGCAGAACUCCGAUUGCGAAGGCAGCCUACCGACUCCUGUCUGACGCUGAGGCACGAAAGCGUGGGUAUCGAACAGGAUUAGAUACCCGCGUAAU
RNAcentral lists this ribosomal RNA (467 nucleotides) under uncultured bacterium. RNAcentral describes it as "bacterial SSU rRNA". It matches the Rfam family "Bacterial small subunit ribosomal RNA", at positions 329 to 794 of the family's 1533-position model. The record is from RNAcentral.